AGGUUCGAGGUGGAAGUGUGGCGACACAUGGAGCUGACGGAUACUAAUCGGUCGAAGACUUAUCCUAAUUU
This 71-nucleotide ribosomal RNA is filed under the name Heyndrickxia sporothermodurans. Its description in RNAcentral is "Bacillus sporothermodurans partial 23S ribosomal RNA". Lineage: Bacteria; Bacillati; Bacillota; Bacilli; Caryophanales; Bacillaceae. The record is from RNAcentral.